Molecule: long non-coding RNA, 1682 nt
Filed under: Heterocephalus glaber (naked mole-rat)
Lineage: Eukaryota; Metazoa; Chordata; Mammalia; Rodentia; Bathyergidae
Description: lncRNA (ENSHGLG00100045403.1)
Source: RNAcentral
GUUGGGUUGGACAUCUCCUGGUUUGCUAGGUCUACAUUUGCUCUGAGUCCUGCCAUCAAAACAAAAGCACUUUCUUAGAACAGGACGUGCAGCGUGGGGCUCAUCGUGAGUAACGCUUUCAGCCUUCGGGGGCCUGGGGGGGGUGUCACACAGCAACCGGAAGCCCCCCUCCUUCCAGUGUUGGAAGAACAGCCAGGUUGCCUUUCUGUUUCGGUUUGGUUUGUUUGACUGAGAAGGGACAAACCCUCAAGGUGCCACCCUGGGCAGGUCCUCUGUUCCUCCAGAGAGCAACAGCCAGCUCCGGGAGAGGAUCAGGUGCCCACGUCUGGUGACUGGAAGGAAGGCCCUGCGUGUGCAAGGCGACUUGCAGCCAGCUGCAUCGUACACCCUCGGCACAGAAAACCUCUGUAAAAGCAAUACGGAGACCAGGUCAGGACCUUGGGAUGGAACAAGAGCUGGAGAAGCUGGGAUGGAGUGGGAAGUCCGAGCCUUAUUUCUGGUUCAGUGUCCUGUAAAGGGCUGAGCCAGACAGCAGAGGUCUCUCACCCCCACACCCAUGAGGCCUGCAGUGGAGAGGUCCCGCAAGAACAGAAGCCACGGGAGGCCCAGGUUGUGUCCACAUGCAUUGAAGCAGCGACUUCACCUCCAAGCUAGGAGCUCCUCCUCACCCAGCCUCCUACUGUGGAAUGCCCAUGCUCCUGCGACCGUGACCCCAAUCCCACGGGCCAGUGACAAGGACAGGGUCACUGUGGAAUGAAGAGGUGGGAUCGUUUCUUCAAGUGAUGAGAAGCUCAAGGCAACAGCGGAGCAUCACAGCAGCACUGCUCUCCGGAGAUGUGGUGGCCCCAGACUCGUCACAUGCAUGUGCACACACGCGCACACACACACGUGUGCAUACACACAUUUCCCCACACCUUUGCUCUCCCUAGUUAAUACAGAGGAGCUCUGGUCACAAUGGAGCCAAUGUGAAAGCUCCUAACAGGUUGAUUCCCAAGUUUUCUGUUGCUGUCACGUCCACGAUGGCAGCUGUGGUAUGUGGAGAAGUGAAAUGUGUACUGACAGAUGACUGCAUUGUUGGGAGGAGACAUUAUUUCAAAUGUAAAAAUACCAGGACAUGGGGAAACCCUAGUCAGCCCAUGAAGGCUACUGUUUGAAUUCCCUCUUGUUAGAUAGUCAUAACAAAAGCCAUGGCUCUCAUGGGCUGCUCAGGAAGGGCUUUGCACGUAGCAUUCUGUGAGUCCAUCCAGCAGCCCAAGCCUCCUGGACAGGCGCUUUGGGGCCCACAUUAUGGAUGGAGGCAGAGAGCACUAGGUAGCACCUGAUGUCACAAUGUGAAGGGGUCACAUGAGGACUGGCUUUCUGCACUCAGUGAACAGCUGCUGAGUCUCGGGGCAGAGUAGGCACGGCUCGAGGUUGAAGCAAUCCCACCACAGUGGGAUUCCUGGGAAGAUCGCAGCAAGCGGGGCUUUCUGCAGAGGGGAUUUGCCUCCUCUCUAAAUGAAUCCGUGUUGGGUAGAACAUGAAUUAAGUCAGCAAAACAGAGGGGAAGACAGCGAGGGACAACUGCACCCCUUUUUAGGACAGCACCAGGGUGGGCUUCUUCUAUUCAGAAAGGCAAGGACAGCAUCCACCUUAGUGUGUCCUAAGGCCUGCGAGAAGCCGGCAUCCCCAAGGAGCUGGAG